AAGCGGAGGAAAAGAAACUAACAAGGAUUCCCCUAGUAACUGCGAGUGAAGCGGGAAAAGCUCAAAUUUAAAAUCUGGCAGUUUCACUGUCCGAGUUGUAAUCUGGAGAAGCAUUUUCUGUGUUGGACCGUGUACAAGUCUCUUGGAAUAGAGCGUCAUAGAGGGUGAGAAUCCCGUCCAUGACACGGACUACCAAUGCUCUGUGAUAUGCUCUCGAAGAGUCGAGUUGUUUGGGAAUGCAGCUCAAAUUGGGUGGUAAAUUCCAUCUAAAGCUAAAUAUUGGCGAGAGACCGAUAGCGAACAAGUACCGUGAGGGAAAGAUGAAAAGCACUUUGGAAAGAGAGUUAAACAGUACGUGAAAUUGUUGAAAGGGAAACGCUUGAAGUCAGUCGCGUUGUCUGAGACUCAGCCUUGCUCUGCUUGGUGUAUUUCUCAGUUAACGGGUCAACAUCAAUUUUGGUUGGUGGAUAAAGGUAGAGGAAAUGUGGCAUCCUCCGGGGUGUGUUAUAGUCCUCUAUUGUAUACACUGACUGGGAUUGAGGAACGCAGCACGCCUUUUAGGCCGGGGGUUCGCCUCACGUAACGUGCUUAGGAUGUUGGCAUAAUGGCUUUAAGCGACCCGUCUUGAAACACGGACCAAGGAGUCUAACAUGCUUGCAAGUGUUCGGGUGGAAAACCCUUGCGCGUAAUGAAAGUGAAAGUUGGGACCCUUCGCGGGGGCACCGACGCCCGGCCCUGAAGUUUACUGACGGUGCUGCGGUAGAGCACGUAUGUUGGGACCCGAAAGAUGGUGAACUAUGCCUGAAUAGGGUGAAGCCAGGGGAAACUCUGGUGGAGGCUCGUAGCGAUUCUGACGUGCAAAUCGAUCGUCAAAUUUGGGUAUAGGGGCGAAAGACUAAUCGAACCAUCUAGUAGC
RNAcentral lists this ribosomal RNA (916 nucleotides) under Xylodon nongravis. RNAcentral describes it as "partial 28S ribosomal RNA". It matches the Rfam family "Eukaryotic large subunit ribosomal RNA", at positions 48 to 951 of the family's 3401-position model. Lineage: Eukaryota; Fungi; Basidiomycota; Agaricomycetes; Hymenochaetales; Schizoporaceae. The record is from RNAcentral.